Molecule: long non-coding RNA, 80 nt
Organism: Xiphophorus hellerii (green swordtail)
Lineage: Eukaryota; Metazoa; Chordata; Actinopteri; Cyprinodontiformes; Poeciliidae
Exons: 3
Source: RefSeq, a predicted model, not a curated record
UUUUAUUUUUACUGAUGGAAAUUUGUUGUCAUGUUUGAAGAACCAUUAUCUUUAUUUCUAUUUUUAGGUUUUAAAAUAAA